RNAcentral lists this long non-coding RNA (286 nucleotides) under Paramuricea clavata. The record is from RNAcentral. Lineage: Eukaryota; Metazoa; Cnidaria; Anthozoa; Malacalcyonacea; Plexauridae.
CGCAAUUCGAUGACACUCUGGCUCAGACACCAGAAUGUUUUGACGAUUUUUAGCAUUCGUUUAGGAUUUUCAAACAACCUGGUCUCUUUUAAAAUACUUUUAAUUUGUUCUUACGUGGUUUUCCAGAUGUAGUGACGACAACAUUAAAGUUUGAAGAAGAAAAUUCUAACAUUUAAACCGACUAAACAAUAACAUAGUAAACUUGCAUAAUUAAACAGCAACUAAAAAUGAUAGGUUUUACUAAAUCUUUUCCUGUGCAAUUAUUACUAGCAUUGGAGACAAGGAU